This 359-nucleotide ribosomal RNA is filed under the name uncultured bacterium. Its description in RNAcentral is "partial 16S ribosomal RNA". It matches the Rfam family "Bacterial small subunit ribosomal RNA", at positions 338 to 696 of the family's 1533-position model. The record is from RNAcentral.
CCUACGGGUGACUGCAGUGAGGAAUAUUGGUCAAUGGGCGAGAGCCUGAACCAGCCAAGUCGCGUGAGGGAGUACUGCCCUAUGGGUUGUAAACCUCUUUUGUCGGGGAGCAAAAGCCGGACGUGUCCGGCUGUGAGAGUACCCGAAGAAAAAGCAUCGGCGAACUUCGUGCCAGCAGCCGCGGUAAUACGGAGGAUGCGAGCGUUAUCCGGAUUUAUUGGGUUUAAAGGGUGCGCAGGCGGAUUUUUAAGUCAGCGGUAAAAGCCUGGGGACCAACCCCAUCCAGCCGUUGAAACUGGGGGACUAGAGAGGGCGAGAAGUAUGCGGAAGGCGUGGUGUAGCGGUGAAAUGCAUAGAUA